GACGAACGCUGGCGGCAGGCCUCAUACAUGCAAGUCGAGCGAUUAAGACUCCUUCGGGAGUGUAUAAAGCGGCGAACGGGUGAGUAACAGGUGGAUGAUCUACCUUCCGGUGGGGGGAUAACAUUGUGAAAACAGUGCUAAUACCGCAUGACAGGGUUCCGGGCAUCCGGGACCCUUGAAAGGAGAAAUCCGGUCAGGGAUGGGCCCGCGUCCAAUUAGCUAGUUGGCGGGGUAACGGCCCACCAAGGCGACGAUUGGUAGCCGAACUGAGAGGUUGAUCGGCCACAUUGGGACUGAGACACGGCCCAGACUCCUACGGGAGGCAGCAGUGGGGAAUAUUGGGCAAUGGGCGAAAGCCUGACCCAGCGACGCCGCGUGAAGGAUGAAGGUCUUCGGAUUGUAAACUUCUUUGAUCAGGGAAGAAAGAAAUGACGGUACCUAGAAAACAAGACCAGGACUAACUACGUG
RNAcentral lists this ribosomal RNA (468 nucleotides) under uncultured bacterium. RNAcentral describes it as "bacterial SSU rRNA". It matches the Rfam family "Bacterial small subunit ribosomal RNA", at positions 28 to 507 of the family's 1533-position model. The record is from RNAcentral.